Non-coding RNA from Pelobates cultripes (western spadefoot toad), 304 nucleotides. The record is from the annotation of a GenBank genome assembly. NCBI's taxonomy places the organism in Eukaryota, Metazoa, Chordata, Amphibia, Anura, Pelobatidae.
AAUAAAUAUACACCCCCUCCCUAUAAUAAAUAUAUACACCCCCUCCCUAUAUAAAUAUAUACAUACACCCCCCACACACUAUAAAGAUGAGGGCACCCAAUGGAUUUCCAAUGAAGUUAGUGUGUUCAAAUGUUGCCAAUAAGGAUCAAUGUUUCGACCUGGCGGUCUUCAUCAAGAUGGCAAUACAUAACAUUUUGUUUAAUAUCUGUAAAUUAAGAGUAAGUGACUAACCUAGAGCAAAGGUUACUCCGGUACUCCGAGUAAACGAUCGGAGUACCGUGAAACCCGCAAGUGCCGCAUGCGU